RNAcentral lists this ribosomal RNA (1174 nucleotides) under Staphylococcus sp. RNAcentral describes it as "bacterial SSU rRNA". Lineage: Bacteria; Bacillati; Bacillota; Bacilli; Caryophanales; Staphylococcaceae. The record is from RNAcentral.
AUANUGCAAGUCGAGCGAACAGACGAGGAGCUUGCUCCUCUGACGUUAGCGGCGGACGGGUGAGUAACACGUGGAUAACCUACCUAUAAGACUGGGAUAACUUCGGGAAACCGGAGCUAAUACCGGAUAAUAUAUUGAACCGCAUGGUUCAAUAGUGAAAGACGGUUUUGCUGUCACUUAUAGAUGGAUCCGCGCCGCAUUAGCUAGUUGGUAAGGUAACGGCUUACCAAGGCAACGAUGCGUAGCCGACCUGAGAGGGUGAUCGGCCACACUGGAACUGAGACACGGUCCAGACUCCUACGGGAGGCAGCAGUAGGGAAUCUUCCGCAAUGGGCGAAAGCCUGACGGAGCAACGCCGCGUGAGUGAUGAAGGUCUUCGGAUCGUAAAACUCUGUUAUUAGGGAAGAACAAAUGUGUAAGUAACUAUGCACGUCUUGACGGUACCUAAUCAGAAAGCCACGGCUAACUACGUGCCAGCAGCCGCGGUAAUACGUAGGUGGCAAGCGUUAUCCGGAAUUAUUGGGCGUAAAGCGCGCGUAGGCGGUUUUUUAAGUCUGAUGUGAAAGCCCACGGCUCAACCGUGGAGGGUCAUUGGAAACUGGAAAACUUGAGUGCAGAAGAGGAAAGUGGAAUUCCAUGUGUAGCGGUGAAAUGCGCAGAGAUAUGGAGGAACACCAGUGGCGAAGGCGACUUUCUGGUCUGUAACUGACGCUGAUGUGCGAAAGCGUGGGGAUCAAACAGGAUUAGAUACCCUGGUAGUCCACGCCGUAAACGAUGAGUGCUAAGUGUUAGGGGGUUUCCGCCCCUUAGUGCUGCAGCUAACGCAUUAAGCACUCCGCCUGGGGAGUACGACCGCAAGGUUGAAACUCAAAGGAAUUGACGGGGACCCGCACAAGCGGUGGAGCAUGUGGUUUAAUUCGAAGCAACGCGAAGAACCUUACCAAAUCUUGACAUCCUCUGACCCCUCUAGAGAUAGAGUUUUCCCCUUCGGGGACAGAGUGACAGGUGGUGCAUGGUUGUCGUCAGCUCGUGUCGUGAGAUGUUGGGUUAAGUCCCGCAACGAGCGCAACCCUUAAGCUUAGUUGCCAUCAUUAAGUUGGGCNCUCUAAGUUGACUGCCGGUGACAACCGGAGGAAGGUGGGGAUGACGUCAAUCAUCAUGCCCCUUNWGAUUG